RNAcentral lists this ribosomal RNA (393 nucleotides) under uncultured Thermovirga sp. RNAcentral's name for it is "bacterial SSU rRNA". It matches the Rfam family "Bacterial small subunit ribosomal RNA", at positions 998 to 1382 of the family's 1533-position model. Lineage: Bacteria; Thermotogati; Synergistota; Synergistia; Synergistales; Thermovirgaceae. The record is from RNAcentral.
GAUCUGAGAGGAGAGGGACCCAUGCUUCGGUAUGGGAGGCGUACACAGGUGCUGCAUGGCUGUCGUCAGCUCGUGUCGUGAGGUGUUGGGUAAGUCCCGCAACGAGCGCAACCCUGCAUCCAGUUGCCAUCGGGCGAGCCGGGCACUCUGGAGGGGACUGCCGGCGACAAGCCGGAGGAAGGUGGGGAUGACGUCAAGUCAUCAUGGCCCUUAUGUCCAGGGCGACACACGUGCUACAAUGGCCGGCACAGCGGGAAGCGGAGGGGCGACCCUGAGCGGAUCCCUUGAAAGCCGGUCCCAGUUCGGAUUGCAGUCUGCAACUCGACUGCAUGAAGUUGGAAUCGCUAGUAAUCGCGGAUCAGCCAAGCCGCGGUGAAUACGUUCCCGGGCCUU